AACGAACGCUGGCGGCAUGCCUAACACAUGCAAGUCGAACGAGACCUUCGGGUCUAGUGGCGCACGGGUGCGUAACGCGUGGGAAUCUGCCCUGGGGUGCGGAAUAACUCGGAGAAAUCCGUGCUAAUACCGCAUAAUGUCUUCGGACCAAAGAUUUAUCGCCCUGGGAUGAGCCCGCGUAGGAUUAGCUAGUUGGUGGGUAAAGGCCUACCAAGGCGACGAUCCUUAGCUGGUCUGAGAGGAUGAUCAGCCACACUGGGACUGAGACACGGCCCAGACUCCUACGGGAGGCAGCAGUGGGGAAUAUUGGACAAUGGGCGAAAGCCUGAUCCAGCAAUGCCGCGUGAGUGAUGAAGGCCCUAGGGUUGUAAAGCUCUUUUACCCGGGAUGAUAAUGACAGUACCGGGAGAAUAAGCUCCGGCUAACUCCGUGCCAGCAGCCGCGGUAAU
This 449-nucleotide ribosomal RNA is filed under the name uncultured bacterium. RNAcentral describes it as "bacterial SSU rRNA". It matches the Rfam family "Bacterial small subunit ribosomal RNA", at positions 29 to 524 of the family's 1533-position model. The record is from RNAcentral.